UCCAUUGUGUUCACCAGAGUCACUGCCGUGGACAACAGACAGUAACAGUAUGGCGUCGACGAGCCGUGGAGACUCUCUUCCCAAGGUGCAAUGCCCCAAUCACCCCGAUGCAAUACUGGUGGAGGACUACAGGGCAGGAGACAUGAUCUGUCCUGAAUGCGGCCUCGUAGUAGGUGACCGUGUAAUUGAUGUAGGGUCAGAGUGGAGAACGUUCACCAAUGAGAAAGCAACUAAAGAUCCGUCUCGUGUUGGUGACACUCAGAACCCUCUCCUCAAUGGAGGAGACCUCACCACCAUGAUCAGCAAAGGAACAGGUGCAGCGAGCUUUGAUGAGUUUGGAAAUUCCAAGUACCAGAAUCGGAGAACCAUGAGCAGCUCCGAUCGAGCCAUGUUGAAUGCCUUCAAGGAGAUAACCACCAUGGCCGACAGGAUCAACCUCCCCAGAAACAUCAUCGACCGAACAAACAACUUGUUCAAACAGGUUUACGAACAGAAGAGUCUGAAAGGCAGAAGUAAUGAUGCGAUCGCUUCAGCCUGCCUUUACAUAGCGUGCAGACAGGAGGGCGUCCCUAGAACAUUUAAAGAAAUCUGUGCCGUGUCUCGGAUCUCGAAGAAGGAGAUUGGCCGCUGCUUCAAGCUUAUCCUGAAGGCUCUUGAGACGAGCGUGGAUCUCAUUACAACCGGCGACUUCAUGUCACGUUUCUGCUCCAACUUGGGCUUGCCCAAACAGGUGCAGAUGGCGGCCACUUACAUCGCCAGGAAGGCCGUUGAACUGGACUUGGUUCCAGGGCGCAGUCCGAUCUCAGUGGCAGCCGCAGCCAUUUACAUGGCCUCUCAAGCGUCUGCUGAGAAGAAGACUCAGAAGGAGAUUGGGGACAUUGCUGGAGUGGCAGACGUCACCAUCCGUCAGUCCUACCGUCUCAUUUAUCCCCGCGCUGCCGAUCUCUUUCCUCCAGACUUCAAGUUCGACACACCAGUGGAUAAACUGCCUCAACUGUGAACACCCAUGUGCCCCACACUCACCGCUCUUUGUACUUUCAGAAUUUUUGCCCUUUUCUCUUUGAAAUUUGCACGUUUUGCUCUUCCCCCGUGAAGACACAAGCCUUUUGAAAAGACGACGGCAGGGAUUCGACAAAGUACAGAAGACACAUUCCAAGUUAAAUCACAGAUUGCAGGCUGUACUUUCAUUUGUGUGUAUAUAAAUUGUACAUAUGUCUAAGUGAGAAUUUGGUGGUUGCAACUAGGCAUAUUUCUUACUGUAACAUUUUCUUUUGUAGGAAAUGAUUUUGUUAGCUUGUUUGCAUUAUAUUUAGUAACUUAAAUAAUAAAUACUUUUCAGAAAAGCAUGGUGAACAUCUCGGAAAUCCCCAGAGCAGGUGUACAAAUACCAUGGGCUUUGAAAGCGUGUAGCUCACGAAUGGUUUUGUUUCCCCCUCUUUUUUUCUUUCACGAGGGGAAUGGUAUGAAGCAGAAGUUUCUGUUCGUGUGUUUCUGUUCCUGUAUCCACAGCUCAGUUAUUAUAAAGAUUUCAUGAAACACCAGAGAAUCCUUUUUGAAGUGACAAAUAAACCAUUUACAACCUGAUUAGGUCUACGAAAUGCAGAAAGACUCACGACUUACGUAAUAAACAUUUAAUUUUUGCAUUCAUGAUGGCUGACAGUUUGAGCAAAACCUGUUAUUUACACCAUUGUGAAGUCAAACUUCACGACUGUACCUUUGAAACUUUUCUUCUGCAUCAUGCUCCGACAUACAAGUAGUGGGUAGAAAACCUUUGACCGGUCCUUUUGUUUUCCCACCAUUUAGAUAAAACAUGGAUAUUUUAGACAAAAUUAGUGCUUCCAGCUUGAUAGUGUUUAUGUAGUGUAGCCUAUAUAAGACACCAGACCUCCAACUAGUAUCUACCCCUCCACUUGGAUUGCUUAUUAUUACACAUAUGAAGCUUCAGGCCUAUUUUUGAACAUCUGGACCAGUUAUUAGUAUAUUUAUAUUGAUAUUUGGUGUCUAGCAUAGAUUCCAGUCUGUCAUGUCUCAUGUCCACAUAUGAAAAAAAAAACAUGAAAUGGAGGAAUUUCAGUAGGGAACAACUAGGUAACGAGGUAAUGUGAUUGCCUGUCACAUACACGCUGUUUAAAAGUUUGAGGUUGGUAAAAAUUUUCUAUGUUAUUGAAAGAAAUCAACUUGAACAAAAAUACAGUAAAAACAGCAACAUUGUGACAUGUGGUAAC
Sinocyclocheilus rhinocerous is the source of this 2225-nucleotide RNA transcript. It is a transcript of the gene named general transcription factor IIB, with no coding region annotated. NCBI's taxonomy places the organism in Eukaryota, Metazoa, Chordata, Actinopteri, Cypriniformes, Cyprinidae. The record is from RefSeq and is a predicted model, not a curated record. The transcript is spliced from 8 exons.